AGUGGCGGACGGGUGAGUAACGCGUGAGAAUCUGCCUUGGGGUCGGGGACAACCACUGGAAACGGUGGCUAAUACCGGAUAAGCCGAUUGGUGAAAGAUUUAUUGCCCGAAGAGGAGCUCGCGUCUGAUUAGCUAGUUGGUGAGGUAAGAGCUCACCAAGGCAGCGAUCAGUAGCUGGUCUGAGAGGACGAUCAGCCACACUGGGACUGAGACACGGCCCAGACUCCUACGGGAGGCAGCAGUGGGGAAUUUUCCGCAAUGGGCGAAAGCCUGACGGAGCAAGACCGCGUGAGGGAGGAAGGCUCUUGGGUUGUAAACCUCUUUUCUCAGGGAAGAAGCUCUGACGGUACCUGAGGAAUCAGCCUCGGCUAACUCCGUGCCAGCAGCCGCGGUAAUACGGAGGAGGCAAGCGUUAUCCGGAAUUAUUGGGCGUAAAGCGUCCGCAGGUGGCGAUUCAAGUCUGCUGUCAAAGCACGGGGCUUAACUCCGUAAAGGCAGUGGAAACUGAAUAGCUAGAGUGCCGUAGGGGUAGAGGGUAUUCCCGGUGUAGCGGUGAAAUGCGUAGAGAUCGGGAAGAACAUCGGUGGCGAAAGCGCUCUACUGGACGGCAACUGACACUCAGGGACGAAAGCUAGGGGAGCGAAUGGGAUUAGAUACCCC
Molecule: ribosomal RNA, 660 nt
Filed under: uncultured bacterium
Lineage: Bacteria
Description: bacterial SSU rRNA
Rfam family: Bacterial small subunit ribosomal RNA
Source: RNAcentral